AGAGUUUGAUUCUGGCUCAGGACGAACGCUGGCGGCGUGCCUUACACAUGCAAGUCGAACGCAGCUUACCUAACUUUUAAGUUUACUUGGAAGUUAGGUAAAGUCUGAGUGGCAAACGGGUGAGUAACACGUGAGUAAUCUGCCUCCGGGUGGGGGACAACCAUUCGAAAGGGUGGCUAAUACCCCAUAUCCUCUUUUAACCCAGGUUAAAAGAGCAAAGCUGGCUUUUAUUAGCUGGUGCCAGGAGAGGAGCUCGCGUCCCAUCAGCUAGUUGGCAGGGUAAUGGCCUACCAAGGCAACGACGGGUAGCCGGCCUGAGAGGGUGUCCGGCCACACUGGGACUGAGAUACGGCCCAGACUCCUACGGGAGGCAGCAGUGAGGAAUCUUGGGCAAUGGGGGCAACCCUGACCCAGCGACGCCGCGUGGAGGAUGAAGGCCUUCGGGUCGUAAACUCCUGUUCUGGGGGAAGAACCGGGAGGAAGUGAAUAGCUUCUUCCCCUGACGGUACCCCAGGAGAAAGCUCCGGCUAAUUACGUGCCAGCAGCCGCGGUAAUACGUAAGGAGCGAGCGUUGUCCGGAUUUACUGGGCGUAAAGAGCUCGUAGGCGGCUUUCCAGGUCCUACAUGAAAUUCCUUGGCUUAACUGGGGAAGGUCGUGGGAAACCGGAAAGCUCGAGGGUAGGAGAGGAGAGUGGAAUUCCCGGUGUAGCGGUGAAAUGCGUAGAUAUCGGGAAGAACACCAGUGGCGAAGGCGGCUCUCUGGCCUACCCCUGACGCUGAGGAGCGAAAGCCAGGGGAGCAAACCGGAUUAGAUACCCGGGUAGUCCUGGCCGUAAACGAUGGGUACUAGGUGUGGGAGGUUCGACCCCUUCCGUGCCGCAGCUAACGCAUUAAGUACCCCGCCUGGGGAGUACGGCCGCAAGGUUGAAACUCAAAGGAAUUGACGGGGGCCCGCACAAGCGGUGGAGCAUGUGGUUUAAUUCGAUGCAACGCGAGGAACCUUACCAGGGCUUGACAUGCUGGUAGUAGGAGCCCGAAAGGGUGACCACCUUCGGUUUUCCGAAGGAGCCAGCACAGGUGCUGCAUGGUUGUCGUCAGCUCGUGUCGUGAGAUGUUGGGUUAAGUCCCGCAACGAGCACAACCCCUACCCUUAGUUGCUACCGACUUCGGUCGGGCACUCUAAGGGGACUGCCAGGGAUAACCUGGAGGAAGGUGGGGAUGACGUCAAAUCCGCAUGGCCCUUAUGUCCUGGGCGACACACGUGCUACAAUGGCCAGUACAGAGGGUUGCGAACCCGUAAGGGAGAGCCAAUCCCAGAAAGCUGGCCUCAGUUGGGAUUGUCGGCUGCAACCCGCCGACAUGAACUCGGAAUCGCUAGUAAUCGCGCAUCAGCCAUGGCGCGGUGAAUACGUUCCCGGGCCUUGUACACACCGCCCGUCACACCACGAAAGUCGAUUCCACCUGAAGUCACUGGGCUAACCCCGCAAGGGGAGGCAGGUGCCUAGGGUGGGGUUGGUGAUUGGGGUGAAGUCGUAACAAGGUAACCG
This 1547-nucleotide ribosomal RNA is filed under the name uncultured Atribacterota bacterium. Its description in RNAcentral is "bacterial SSU rRNA". It matches the Rfam family "Bacterial small subunit ribosomal RNA". The record is from RNAcentral. Lineage: Bacteria; Pseudomonadati; Atribacterota.